UGGGGAAUAUUGCACAAUGGGCGCAAGCCUGAUGCAGCCAUGCCGCGUGUAUGAAGAAGGCCUUCGGGUUGUAAAGUACUUUCAGCGGGGAGGAAGGCGAUAAGGUUAAUAACCUUGUCGAUUGACGUUACCCGCAGAAGAAGCACCGGCUAACUCCGUGCCAGCAGCCGCGGUAAUACGGAGGGUGCAAGCGUUAAUCGGAAUUACUGAGCGUAAAGCGCACGCAGGCGGUCUGUCAAGUCGGAUGUGAAAUCCCCGGGCUCAACCUGGGAACUGCAUUCGAAACUGGCAGGCUAGAGUCUUGUAGAGGGGGGUAGAAUUCCAGGUGUAGCGGUGAAAUGCGUAGAGAUCUGGAGGAAUACCGGUGGCGAAGGCGGCCCCCUGGACAAAGACUGACGCUCAGGUGCGAAAGCGUGGGGAGCAAACA
This 427-nucleotide ribosomal RNA is filed under the name uncultured bacterium. RNAcentral's name for it is "partial 16S ribosomal RNA". It matches the Rfam family "Bacterial small subunit ribosomal RNA", at positions 355 to 774 of the family's 1533-position model. The record is from RNAcentral.